Molecule: ribosomal RNA, 368 nt
Filed under: uncultured soil bacterium
Lineage: Bacteria
Description: bacterial SSU rRNA
Rfam family: Bacterial small subunit ribosomal RNA
Source: RNAcentral
AGGACGAACGCUGGCGGCGGGCUUAACACAUGCAAGUCGAACGAAAAGCCGGGUGCUUGCACCUGGUGGAAAGUGGCGCACGGGUGAGUAACGCGUAGGCAAUCUACCCUCAGCAGGGGGACAACCAGUGGAAACGCUGGCUAAUACCCCAUAAUGUCCCGACAGCGCAUGCUUUCGGGAUCAAAGUUCAGGCGGCUGAGGACGAGCCUGCGUUAGAUUAGCUAGUUGGUGGGGUAAAUGCCCACCAAGGCGACGAUCUAUAGCGGGUCUGAGAGGAUGAUCCGCCACACUGGCACUGAGACACGGGCCAGACUCCUACGGGAGCAGCAGUGAGGAAUAUUGCGACAAGUGGAACGAAAGUCUGACGC